GCGGGUAUGGCGGAACUGGUAGACGCGCUAGACUUAGGAUCUAGUGAUUAUGUCGUGGGGGUUCGAGUCCCUCUAUCCGUA
RNAcentral lists this transfer RNA (81 nucleotides) under Candidatus Heimdallarchaeota archaeon. RNAcentral describes it as "tRNA-Leu". It matches the Rfam family "tRNA". Rfam says of the family: Transfer RNA (tRNA) molecules are approximately 80 nucleotides in length. RNAcentral also lists the same sequence under 1 other name. The record is from RNAcentral. Lineage: Archaea; Promethearchaeati; Candidatus Heimdallarchaeota.